This 335-nucleotide unclassified non-coding RNA is filed under the name soil metagenome. RNAcentral describes it as "partial contains 5.8S ribosomal RNA, internal transcribed spacer 2, and large subunit ribosomal RNA". The stretch from base 1 to 120 matches the Rfam family "5.8S ribosomal RNA", at positions 35 to 154 of the family's 154-position model. The record is from RNAcentral.
GAUGAAGAACGCAGCGAAAUGCGAUAAGUAGUGUGAAUUGCAGAAUUCAGUGAAUCAUCGAAUCUUUGAACGCACAUUGCGCCCUUUGGUAUUCCUUAGGGCAUGCCUGUUCGAGCGUCAUUUGAAACCUCAAGCUCAGCUUGGUGUUGGGUGUCUGUCCCCGCCUCCGCGGGGACUCGCCUCAAAAUCAUUGGCGGCCGGUACGUUGGCUUCGAGCGCAGCAGAAACGCGAACUCGAGGCCCGGCGGAUCGGCGACCAGAAGUCUCUUCUUCACAGUUUGACCUCGGAUCAGGUAGGGAUACCCGCUGAACUUAAGCAUAUCAAUAACGGAGGA